Molecule: transfer RNA, 85 nt
Filed under: Felis catus (domestic cat)
Lineage: Eukaryota; Metazoa; Chordata; Mammalia; Carnivora; Felidae
Rfam family: tRNA
About the family: Transfer RNA (tRNA) molecules are approximately 80 nucleotides in length.
Source: Rfam by way of RNAcentral
ACCUGGGAGGCUCAGUCGGUUGAGCGUCUGACUUUGGCUCAGGUCACGAUCUCACAGUUCGUGGGUUCGAUUCCUGCAUCAGGCU